Molecule: long non-coding RNA, 944 nt
Organism: Pyrus x bretschneideri (Chinese white pear)
Lineage: Eukaryota; Viridiplantae; Streptophyta; Magnoliopsida; Rosales; Rosaceae
Exons: 4
Source: RefSeq, a predicted model, not a curated record
CUUCUCUCUCAUUUUUCUUCUUUCUUCUCACACCUGAGACACCCUAACCUUUGAACACACACCAAAUCAUCAUAGAUUGAACCUGCAAAGACCAUCAUUGUUUUCAUCUUGACCUCACGAACCUAGUCGUACCAUAUGAUUGUCGAACGGACGAGUUUUGACUCGUUAACUCGGAAGCUUCGACUCGGUGCCCUUUGCUCCAACGCGAUCCCAGCGAGAUUAUAAGGUUUUAGGACAUGGGGAAGCUUCUAUUCAACUCCAUAGGGACCCUAGACUAAGUUUGGGAAGGAGUCGAUGUCGGAUCAUGCGAGUUUAAGAAGUUUUAGUUUUGGCCAAAUCUUUUGAGGGAUUUUCAGGCCAUUUUCCUGUUAUUUUUGGAUCCCCAAGAGAAACCGGCGAGAUUUUCCGAGAAACCAGUGAACCAGACGGAGGCGGAGGUGGACGGUGAAGCUUACUGAAGAAGAAGGCGAAUAUUUCGUCAACUCCAUUACUAUUUAACAGAAUAUCCCUAACGUCCGUUAGGGUUCCGUCGGCACAUGCUGUGCUCAUGCCUGCAUGUAGUCGUGGGUUCGACUACACGUGAGGGCUUGUACGGCCUCCGACCGGCGAGUGGUUUUCAUGUGCGGGGGAGACAUACCCCAAUGACGAACGCGGACAAGCAAGGCUAGGGGGCUACGAUCCUUCGACAUAUCAGUACUAGUUAGCUGUUGCUCUGUGUGGCACAAGAGGAUUACCCGACGGAUUCUGACAUUCCACUAAAUUAUGUAGGGUUCUUCUCUCUGGUUGUGUAUUUGGUACUUAGUUAGUUCAACUGCACCUUUAAAUUACCUAUGCUCUGAAUGUUUGUAUCUUGGGUUUGACCACUUCCUGCAUACUCACUUAUUUUUAGUUUAAGUUUUAGUUUUGGUUUUAAUUUGUUCACAUUUUUAAUUACUUCUUUUGCA